This 253-nucleotide ribosomal RNA is filed under the name uncultured bacterium. Its description in RNAcentral is "partial 16S ribosomal RNA". It matches the Rfam family "Bacterial small subunit ribosomal RNA", at positions 524 to 776 of the family's 1533-position model. The record is from RNAcentral.
UACGAAGGGUGCAAGCGUUACUCGGAAUUACUGGGCGUAAAGCGUGCGUAGGUGGUUCGUUAAGUCAGAUGUGAAAGCCCCGGGCUCAACCUGGGAACUGCAUUUGAAACUGGCGGGCUUGAGUGUGGCAGAGGGGGGUGGAAUUCCGCGUGUAGCAGUGAAAUGCGUAGAGAUGCGGAGGAACACCGAUGGCGGAGGCAGCCCCCUGGGCUGACACUGACGCUCAGGCACGAAAGCGUGGGGAGCAAACAGG